GUAGCAGGACGGUCGUGUCGCUUGCCGAGUGCAUAAGUCCUCAUGUUCCAACGAGGAAAUGAGACGCAGUUUAUGCCUGGCGGCAAGAGGAAAGUCCGGGCAACACAGAGCACCAUAUUCUCUAACGGGGAGCUGUCGGUGACGGCAGAGUAGCGUGACAGAAAAUAACAACCUCCUUUCUCACAGAGAGGCGGAAAUGGUGAAAAGGUGGGGUAAGAGCCCACCGGGCAUCGUGGCGACACGAUGUGCCGCACGCCUUAUGGGUUGCAAGGCCAUGUAUACCGGCAAGCGGGUAAGCAUCCACAUGCUCGUGAAGAGUGGGUGGCGCCGCAAUGGGUUGCUCGCCCAUCGCCGGGGGGUAGGCUGCUCGAGCGCCGUAGCUUAGCGGGGCGCCAAUUAGAUAAAUGACUGCGACCGCCGCAGUAACCCCGAGGCCUUUCGAGGCUGACGGAAAUGCUGUGACGACAUAACCCGGCUUAUAGUCCUGCUAUCUUU
RNAcentral lists this RNase P RNA (495 nucleotides) under Duncaniella sp. RNAcentral's name for it is "RNase P RNA component class A". It matches the Rfam family "Bacterial RNase P class A". From Rfam's summary of the family: Ribonuclease P (RNase P) is a ubiquitous endoribonuclease, found in archaea, bacteria and eukarya as well as chloroplasts and mitochondria. Its best characterised activity is the generation of mature 5'-ends of tRNAs by cleaving the 5'-leader elements of precursor-tRNAs. Lineage: Bacteria; Pseudomonadati; Bacteroidota; Bacteroidia; Bacteroidales; Muribaculaceae. The record is from RNAcentral.